GCCUGGGUGGCUCAGUCAGUUAAGCAUCUGACUCUUCAGCUUGGGUCAUGAUCUCAUGGUUCGUGGGUUCGAGCCCCACACCAGGCU
RNAcentral lists this transfer RNA (87 nucleotides) under Felis catus (domestic cat). It matches the Rfam family "tRNA". Rfam says of the family: Transfer RNA (tRNA) molecules are approximately 80 nucleotides in length. Their secondary structure includes four short double-helical elements and three loops (D, anti-codon, and T loops). The record is from Rfam by way of RNAcentral. Lineage: Eukaryota; Metazoa; Chordata; Mammalia; Carnivora; Felidae.